AAUCAACGCUGGCGGCGUGCCUCAGACAUGCAAGUCGAACGCGAAAGUCCCCUUCGGGGGACGAAGUAGAGUGGCGCACGGGUGAGUAACACGUAGGUAAUCUACCUUUGGAUGGGGAAUAACAACCGGAAACGGUUGCUAAUACCGCAUAAUGCAGCGGCACCUAAUGGUGACAGUUGUUAAAGCGGGGGAUCGAAAGACCUCGCGUCUAAAGAGGAGCCUGCGGCGGAUUAGCUAGUUGGUAAGGAAUGGCUUACCAAGGCUACGAUCCGUAACCGGCCUGAGAGGGCGGUCGGUCACACUGACACUGACAUACGGGUCAGACUCCUACGGGAGGCAGCAGUGGGGAAUAUUGCGCAAUGGACGAAAGUCUGACGCAGCGACGCCGCGUGUGGGAUGACGGUCUUCGGAUUAGUAAACCACUGUCGGGAGGGACGAAUACGCCGCAAGGCGGGUGACGGUACCUCCAAAGGAAGCACCGGCUAACUCCGUGCCAGCCGCCGCAGUAAU
Molecule: ribosomal RNA, 510 nt
Filed under: uncultured bacterium
Lineage: Bacteria
Description: bacterial SSU rRNA
Rfam family: Bacterial small subunit ribosomal RNA
Source: RNAcentral